RNAcentral lists this ribosomal RNA (239 nucleotides) under uncultured bacterium. Its description in RNAcentral is "partial 16S ribosomal RNA". It matches the Rfam family "Bacterial small subunit ribosomal RNA", at positions 118 to 353 of the family's 1533-position model. The record is from RNAcentral.
UGAGCAAUCUGCCCUUCUCUUUGGAAUAAGCGUUGGAAACGACGUCUAAUGCCGAAUACGACCUCCUUUCGCAUGAUCGGAGGUGGAAAGCUCCGGCGGAGAAGGAUGAGCUCGCGGCCUAUCAGCUAGUUGGUGUGGGUAAUGGCCCACCAAGGCGACGACGGGUAGCCGGCCUGAGAGGGUGACCCGGCCACACGUGGGACUGAGACACGGCCCAGACCUCCGUACGGGAGGNAGCG